GACGAACGCUGGCGGCGUGCUUAACACAUGCAAGUCGAACGGUAAGGCCCUUCGGGGUACACGAGUGGCGAACGGGUGAGUAACACGUGGGUGAUCUGCCCUGCACUUCGGGAUAAGCCUGGGAAACUGGGUCUAAUACCGGAUAGGACUCCUGCCUGCAUGGGUGGGGGUGGAAAGCUUUUGCGGUGUGGGAUGGGCCCGCGGCCUAUCAGCUUGUUGGUGGGGUGAUGGCCUACCAAGGCGACGACGGGUAGCCGGCCUGAGAGGGUGACCGGCCACACUGGGACUGAGAUACGGCCCAGACUCCUACGGGAGGCAGCAGUGGGGAAUAUUGCACAAUGGGCGCAAGCCUGAUGCAGCGACGCCGCGUGAGGGAUGACGGCCUUCGGGUUGUAAACCUCUUUCAGCACAGACGAAGCGCAAGUGACGGUAUGUGCAGAAGAAGGACCGGCCAACUACGUGCCAGCAGCCGCCUGUAA
RNAcentral lists this ribosomal RNA (479 nucleotides) under uncultured bacterium. RNAcentral's name for it is "partial 16S ribosomal RNA". It matches the Rfam family "Bacterial small subunit ribosomal RNA", at positions 28 to 523 of the family's 1533-position model. The record is from RNAcentral.